Molecule: ribosomal RNA, 469 nt
Filed under: Blastocystis sp. H-42
Lineage: Eukaryota; Bigyra; Opalinata; Blastocystidae
Description: bacterial SSU rRNA
Rfam family: Eukaryotic small subunit ribosomal RNA
Source: RNAcentral
UGGAGGUAGUGGACAUAAAUCACAAUGCGGGACUAUCAGUCUUGCAAUUGGAUUGAGAACAAUGUACAACUCUUAUCGAUAAGCCAUUGGAGGGCAAGUCUGGUGCCAGCAGCCGCGGUAAUUCCAGCUCCAAUAGCGUAUAUUAACGUUGUUGCAGUUAAAAAGCUCGUAGUUGAAGUGUGGGUGGUGCUGUCUGAAUGACUUCGGUUAGUCAGAUGAUCACUACCCCCUUCCAGUAUCCAGUAGUGGGUAUUCAGUUACUUACUAUUGUGUGUUGGUCGUUUACUGUGAGAAAAUUAGAGUGUUCAAAGCAGGCGUUUGCUUGAAUAGAUUAGCAUGGAAUAAUAAUUGAAGGCUUUCGUGUUCGAUUUGAUUGGUUUGUUCAUGGAAGCAAGGUUAAAAGGAACAGUUGGGGGUAUUCAUAUUCACUAGUUAGAGGUGAAAUUCUCGGAUUUAUGGAAGAUGAACA